RNAcentral lists this ribosomal RNA (465 nucleotides) under uncultured bacterium. RNAcentral describes it as "partial 16S ribosomal RNA". It matches the Rfam family "Bacterial small subunit ribosomal RNA", at positions 338 to 795 of the family's 1533-position model. The record is from RNAcentral.
CCUACGGGAGGCAGCAGUCGGGAAUAUUGCGCAAUGGAGGAAACUCUGACGCAGUGACGCCGCGUAUAGGAAGAAGGUUUUCGGAUUGUAAACCUCUGUCAGCAGGGAAGAACGGUCACUGUGCUAAUCAGCAGUGAAUUGACGGUACCUGCAAAGGAAGCACCGGCUAACUCCGUGCCAGCAGCCGCGGUAAUACGGAGGGUGCGAGCGUUAAUCGGAAUUACUGGGCGUAAAGCGCUCGUAGGCGGUAUGUCAAGUCAAGGGUGAAAUCCCCGCGCUCAACGUGGGAACUGCCUUUGAAACUGGCAAACUGGAGUGUGUGAGAGGAUAAUGGAAUUCCAGGUGUAGGAGUGAAAUCCGUAGAUAUCUGGAGGAACAUCAGUGGCGAAGGCGACUAUCUGGCACAUAACUGACGCUGAGGAGCGAAAGCGUGGGUAGCAAACAGGAUUAGAUACCCCUGUAGUC